AUUGAACGCUGGCGGAAUGCUUUACACAUGCAAGUCGAACGGCAGCACGGGGGCAGCCCUGGUGGCGGGUGGCGAACGGGUGAGUAAUACAUCGGAACGUACCCGGUCGUGGGGGAUAACGUAGCGAAAGUUACGCUAAUACCGCAUACGAGCUGAGGAUGAAAGCGGGGGACAUUCGGGCCUCGCGCGAUCGGAGCGGCCGAUGUCAGAUUAGGUAGUUGGUGGGGUAAAGGCCUACCAAGCCGACGAUCUGUAGCUGGUCUGAGAGGACGACCAGCCACACUGGGACUGAGACACGGCCCAGACUCCUACGGGAGGCAGCAGUGUGGACUUUUGGACAAUGGUCGCGAGCCUGAUCCAGCCAUUCCGCGUGCAGGACGAAGGCCUUCGGGUUGUAAACUGCUUUUGUACGGAACGAAAAGGCUCUGGCUAAGACCUGGGGCUCAUGACGGUACCGAAAGAAUAAGCACCGGCUAACUACGUG
Molecule: ribosomal RNA, 484 nt
Filed under: uncultured bacterium
Lineage: Bacteria
Description: partial 16S ribosomal RNA
Rfam family: Bacterial small subunit ribosomal RNA
Source: RNAcentral